Molecule: ribosomal RNA, 253 nt
Filed under: uncultured bacterium
Lineage: Bacteria
Description: partial 16S ribosomal RNA
Rfam family: Bacterial small subunit ribosomal RNA
Source: RNAcentral
UACGGAGGGAGCUAGCGUUGUUCGGAAUUACUGGGCGUAGAGCGCGCGUAGGCGGUCCAUCAAGUCAGAGGUGAAAGCCCGGGGCUCAACCCCGGAACUGCCUUUGAAACUGGCGGACUAGAAUCUUGGAGAGGCGAGUGGAAUUCCGAGUGUAGAGGUGAAAUUCGUAGAUAUUCGGAAGAACACCAGUGGCGAAGGCGACUCGCUGGACAAGUAUUGACGCUGAGGUGCGAAAGCGUGGGGAGCAAACAGG